This 313-nucleotide ribosomal RNA is filed under the name Staphylococcus aureus. RNAcentral describes it as "bacterial SSU rRNA". It matches the Rfam family "Bacterial small subunit ribosomal RNA", at positions 1092 to 1406 of the family's 1533-position model. The record is from RNAcentral. Lineage: Bacteria; Bacillati; Bacillota; Bacilli; Caryophanales; Staphylococcaceae.
ACGAGCGCAACCCUUAAGCUUAGUUGCCAUCAUUAAGUUGGGCACUCUAAGUUGACUGCCGGUGACAAACCGGAGGAAGGUGGGGAUGACGUCAAAUCAUCAUGCCCCUUAUGAUUUGGGCUACACACGUGCUACAAUGGACAAUACAAAGGGCAGCGAAACCGCGAGGUCAAGCAAAUCCCAUAAAGUUGUUCUCAGUUCGGAUUGUAGUCUGCAACUCGACUACAUGAAGCUGGAAUCGCUAGUAAUCGUAGAUCAGCAUGCUACGGUGAAUACGUUCCCGGGUCUUGUACACACCGCCCGUCACACCACG